RNAcentral lists this ribosomal RNA (827 nucleotides) under Salmonella enterica subsp. enterica serovar Leoben. RNAcentral's name for it is "partial 23S ribosomal RNA". It matches the Rfam family "Bacterial large subunit ribosomal RNA", at positions 711 to 1539 of the family's 2925-position model. The record is from RNAcentral. Lineage: Bacteria; Pseudomonadati; Pseudomonadota; Gammaproteobacteria; Enterobacterales; Enterobacteriaceae.
AGACCCGAAACCCGGUGAUCUAGCCAUGGGCAGGUUGAAGGUUGGGUAACACUAACUGGAGGACCGAACCGACUAAUGUUGAAAAAUUAGCGGAUGACCUGUGGCUGGGGGUGAAAGGCCAAUCAAACCGGGAGAUAGCUGGUUCUCCCCGAAAGCUAUUUAGGUAGCGCCUCGUGAAUUCAUCUCCGGGGGUAGAGCACUGUUUCGGCUAGGGGGCCAUCCCGGCUUACCAACCCGAUGCAAACUGCGAAUACCGGAGAAUGUUAUCACGGGAGACACACGGCGGGUGCUAACGUCCGUCGUGAAGAGGGAAACAACCCAGACCGCCAGCUAAGGUCCCAAAGUCAUGGUUAAGUGGGAAACGAUGUGGGAAGGCCCAGACAGCCAGGAUGUUGGCUUAGAAGCAGCCAUCAUUUAAAGAAAGCGUAAUAGCUCACUGGUCGAGUCGGCCUGCGCGGAAGAUGUAACGGGGCUAAACCAUGCACCGAAGCUGCGGCAGCGACACUGUGUGUUGUUGGGUAGGGGAGCGUUCUGUAAGCCUGUGAAGGUGGCCUGUGAGGGUUGCUGGAGGUAUCAGAAGUGCGAAUGCUGACAUAAGUAACGAUAAAGCGGGUGAAAAGCCCGCUCGCCGGAAGACCAAGGGUUCCUGUCCAACGUUAAUCGGGGCAGGGUGAGUCGACCCCUAAGGCGAGGCCGAAAGGCGUAGUCGAUGGGAAACGGGUUAAUAUUCCCGUACUUGGUGUUACUGCGAAGGGGGGACGGAGAAGGCUAUGUUGGCCGGGCGACGGUUGUCCCGGUUUAAGCGUGUAGGUGUGUGUUCCAGGUAA